AUCGGACCCUUCACGAAAUCCAGGAAUGGCAACAGCUGGUGUCUGACGGCGACCAAUUAUUUUGCCAAGCGUGGAGCCAAGACCCAUUUAAGGACAAGACUGGCGAGGCCACCUCCAAGGCGAUGGUGGACAUCUUCAACACCCACGGUUCUCCUGAGGUCAGAGGUCAUGAACGCUGGAACAAGAUAUCCCUUUCCUACCCCUUCCUCCAUGUUUGGAUGAACGGACCAACCACACCCUCAAGACUGCCAUGGGCAAGUCCCUUGACGGGUUCCAGGAAUGGUGGGAGGACAACCUGAAGAUGAAACCUCACCUGAUGUGGUGGAAGUUGUUGAACCAGAUCAGAACGCCUUCAAGGACCACCUUCAGGCACAGGCUGAGAAGGAUGUGGAGGUUUUUUGACCAGGGACCAUCCCUUACCUCCCUCAUCAACCCCACUGACAUAAAAUAAAUUACAGACAGG
This is a long non-coding RNA of Coregonus clupeaformis (lake whitefish), 463 nucleotides long. RefSeq lists it as uncharacterized. The record is from RefSeq and is a predicted model, not a curated record. The transcript is spliced from 5 exons. NCBI's taxonomy places the organism in Eukaryota, Metazoa, Chordata, Actinopteri, Salmoniformes, Salmonidae.